RNAcentral lists this ribosomal RNA (513 nucleotides) under uncultured bacterium. RNAcentral describes it as "partial 16S ribosomal RNA". It matches the Rfam family "Bacterial small subunit ribosomal RNA", at positions 28 to 523 of the family's 1533-position model. The record is from RNAcentral.
GAUGAACGCUGGCGGCGUGCCUAAUACAUGCAAGUCGAACGCACAGCGAAAGGUGCUUGCACCUUUCAAGUGAGUGGCGAACGGGUGAGUAACACGUGGACAACCUGCCUCAAGGCUGGGGAUAACAUUUGGAAACAGAUGCUAAUACCGAAUAAAACUCAGUGUCGCAUGACACAAAGUUAAAAGGCGCUUUGGCGUCACCUAGAGAUGGAUCCGCGGUGCAUUAGUUAGUUGGUGGGGUAAAGGCCUACCAAGACAAUGAUGCAUAGCCGAGUUGAGAGACUGAUCGGCCACAUUGGGACUGCGACACGGCCCAAACUCCUACGGGAGGCUGCAGUAGGAAAUCUUCCACAAUGGGCGAAAGCCUGAUGGAGCAACGCCGCGUGUGUGAUGAAGGCUUUCGGGUCGUAAAGCACUGUUGUAUGGGAAGAACAGCUAGAAUAGGGAAUGAUUUUAGUUUGACGGUACCAUACCAGAAAGGGACGGCUAAAUACGUGCCAGCAGCCGCCGCCG